AGAGUUUGAUCAUGGCUCAGGAUGAACGCUAGCGGCAGGCCUAAUACAUGCAAGUCGAACGGUAAGCCUCCCUUCGGGGAGGCACGAGUGGCGGACGGGUGCGUAACGCGUAUGCAACCUGGCCCCUACCGGGGGAUAGCCCGGGGAAACCCGGAUUAAUACCCCAUAAGACCUUAUUGCCACAUGGCAGAGAGGUUAAAGAUUCAUCGGUAGGGGAUGGGCAUGCGUGCCAUUAGCUGGUUGGCAGUGUAACGGACUACCAAGGCUACGAUGGCUAGGGGGUCUGAGAGGAUGAUCCCCCACACUGGUACUGAGAUACGGACCAGACUCCUACGGGAGGCAGCAGUAGGGAAUAUUGGUCAAUGGGCGAGGGCCUGAACCAGCCAUGCCGCGUGCAGGACGACGGCCUUCUGGGUUGUAAACUGCUUUUAUACGGGAAGAAAACGCCCAUGCGUGGGCAACUGACGGUACCGUAGGAAUAAGCACCGGCUAACUCCGUGCCAGCAGCCGCGGUAAUACGGAGGGUGCGAGCGUUGUCCGGAUUUAUUGGGUUUAAAGGGUGCGUAGGCGGGUUCUUAAGUCAGUGGUGAAAGCCCACAGCUCAACUGUGGAACCGCCAUUGAUACUGGGGGCCUUGAGUACCGUUGGGGCAGGCGGAAUUUAUGGUGUAGCGGUGAAAUGCAUAGAUACCAUAAAGAACACCGAUAGCGAAGGCAGCCUGCUAAACGGUAACUGACGCUGAGGCACGAAAGCAUGGGUAGCGAACAGGAUUAGAUACCCUGGUAGUCCAUGCCGUAAACGAUGAUCACUCGAUGUGUGCGAUAUACGGUACGCGUCCAAGCGAAAGCGU
Molecule: ribosomal RNA, 850 nt
Filed under: uncultured bacterium
Lineage: Bacteria
Description: bacterial SSU rRNA
Rfam family: Bacterial small subunit ribosomal RNA
Source: RNAcentral